UUCUCCUACGGGGCGCAGCAGUGAGGAAUAUUGGUCAAUGGACGAGAGUCUGAACCAGCCAAGUAGCGUGAAGGAUGACUGCCCUAUGGGUUGUAAACUUCUUUUAUAUGGGAAUAAAAUGUUCCACGUGUGGGAUUUUGUAUGUACCAUAUGAAUAAGGAUCGGCUAACUCCGUGCCAGCAGCCGCGGUAAUACGGAGGAUGCGAGCGUUAUCCGGAUUUAUUGGGUUUAAAGGGUGCGUAGGCGGGAUGCCAAGUCAGCGGUAAACAUGCGGUGCUCAACGCCGUCGAGCCGUUGAAACUGGG
RNAcentral lists this ribosomal RNA (305 nucleotides) under uncultured bacterium. RNAcentral describes it as "bacterial SSU rRNA". It matches the Rfam family "Bacterial small subunit ribosomal RNA", at positions 334 to 637 of the family's 1533-position model. The record is from RNAcentral.